RNAcentral lists this long non-coding RNA (323 nucleotides) under Capra hircus (goat). RNAcentral's name for it is "lncRNA (ENSCHIG00000004534.1)". The record is from RNAcentral. Lineage: Eukaryota; Metazoa; Chordata; Mammalia; Artiodactyla; Bovidae.
GAGACAAAGUGAUAGGUGAGACAUGGAUUUGCUUAGAGAGCAGCACACUCCGCGGAACGCCGGCCUUCUUAGAGGGCUGGAAUAGCCCCAGGGUACGCCUUGUCUGUUUUUCUAGGCAAGAGCAGUCACCUCCACAGAAGGUCUGAGAAUCCUGGGGCUCCUACGCUUUCCACCAGAACUGGAGAGAUGUCGGCUGCCAACACUUGAAGCAGAAAGAGCCAGAAGACCUAGCUGCUGCCAAAGGGGCACCGAUUUCCUCACAUGUGAGUGUCCACCCCCCUGGUGUGGCUGCUCUUGACACCCGCCUUGCACUGGCCUUCCAU